AGCGAACGCUGGCGGCAGGCUUAACACAUGCAAGUCGAGCGGGCGUAGCAAUACGUCAGCGGCAGACGGGUGAGUAACGCGUGGGAACAUACCUUUUGGUUCGGAACAACACAGGGAAACUUGUGCUAAUACCGGAUAAGCCCUUACGGGGAAAGAUUUAUCGCCGAAAGAUUGGCCCGCGUCUGAUUAGCUAGUUGGUGAGGUAACGGCUCACCAAGGCGACGAUCAGUAGCUGGCUGAGAGGAUGAUCAGCCACAUUGGGACUGAGACACGGCCCAAACUCCUACGGGAGGCAGCAGUGGGGAAUAUUGGACAAUGGGCGCAAGCCUGAUCCAGCCAUGCCGCGUGAGUGAUGAAGG
Molecule: ribosomal RNA, 359 nt
Filed under: uncultured bacterium
Lineage: Bacteria
Description: bacterial SSU rRNA
Rfam family: Bacterial small subunit ribosomal RNA
Source: RNAcentral